RNAcentral lists this ribosomal RNA (309 nucleotides) under uncultured Desulfovibrio sp. Its description in RNAcentral is "bacterial SSU rRNA". It matches the Rfam family "Bacterial small subunit ribosomal RNA", at positions 30 to 334 of the family's 1533-position model. The record is from RNAcentral. Lineage: Bacteria; Pseudomonadati; Thermodesulfobacteriota; Desulfovibrionia; Desulfovibrionales; Desulfovibrionaceae.
AUUGAACGCUGGCGGCGUGCCUAACACAUGCAAGUCGAGCGAGAAAGCUUUCUUCGGGAAGUGAGUAGAGCGGCGCACGGGUGAGUAACGCGUGGGUAUCUACCCUAUAGACUGGGAUAACAGUUGGAAACGACUGCUAAUACCGGAUACGAUCCUUCGGGAUGAAAGGUGGCCUCUCCUUGGAAGCUAUCACUAUUGGAUGAGCCCGCGUCUCAUUAGCUUGUUGGUAAGGUAAUGGCUUACCAAGGCGACGAUGGGUAGCUGGUUUGAGAGGAUGAUCAGCCACACUGGAACUGAAACACGGUCCAG